CCUUAGCUCAGUCGGUAGAGCAACUGACUUUUAAUCAGUAGGUCGCUGGUUCGAACCCAGCAG
This 63-nucleotide transfer RNA is filed under the name Novosphingobium capsulatum. It matches the Rfam family "tRNA", at positions 6 to 65 of the family's 71-position model. Rfam says of the family: Transfer RNA (tRNA) molecules are approximately 80 nucleotides in length. Their secondary structure includes four short double-helical elements and three loops (D, anti-codon, and T loops). Further hydrogen bonds mediate the characteristic L-shaped molecular structure. tRNAs have two regions of fundamental functional importance: the anti-codon, which is responsible for specific mRNA codon recognition, and the 3' end, to which the tRNAs corresponding amino acid is attached (by aminoacyl-tRNA synthetases). tRNAs cope with the degeneracy of the genetic code in two manners: having more than one tRNA (with a specific anti-codon) for a particular amino acid; and 'wobble' base-pairing, i.e. permitting non-standard base-pairing at the 3rd anti-codon position. Lineage: Bacteria; Pseudomonadati; Pseudomonadota; Alphaproteobacteria; Sphingomonadales; Sphingomonadaceae. RNAcentral also lists the same sequence under 39 other names. The record is from RNAcentral.